This 129-nucleotide ribosomal RNA is filed under the name Candida albicans. RNAcentral describes it as "partial 28S ribosomal RNA". It matches the Rfam family "Eukaryotic large subunit ribosomal RNA", at positions 1 to 127 of the family's 3401-position model. Lineage: Eukaryota; Fungi; Ascomycota; Pichiomycetes; Serinales; Debaryomycetaceae. The record is from RNAcentral.
UUUGACCUCAAAUCAGGUAGGACUACCCGCUGAACUUAAGCAUAUCAAUAAGCGGAGGAAAAGAAACCAACAGGGAUUGCCUCAGUAGCGGCGAGUGAAGCGGCAAAAGCUCAAAUUUGAAAUCUGGCG